This 262-nucleotide ribosomal RNA is filed under the name uncultured bacterium. RNAcentral describes it as "partial 16S ribosomal RNA". It matches the Rfam family "Bacterial small subunit ribosomal RNA", at positions 92 to 354 of the family's 1533-position model. The record is from RNAcentral.
UUAGUGGCGGACGGGUGAGUAACGCGUGGGUAACCUGCCUUACACAGGGGGAUAACACUUAGAAAUAGGUGCUAAAACCGCAUAAGCGCACAGCUUCGCAUGAAGCGGUGUGAAAAACUCCGGUGGUGUAAGAUGGACCCGCGUCUGAUUAGCUUGUUGGCGGGGUAAAGGCUUACCAAGGCAAUGAUGCGUAGCCGAACUGAGAGGUUGAUCGGCCACAUUGGGACUGAGACACGGCCCAAACUCCUACGGGAGGCAGCAG